RNAcentral lists this long non-coding RNA (356 nucleotides) under Olea europaea (common olive). RNAcentral describes it as "long non-coding RNA (OEUR_LNC011721)". The record is from RNAcentral. Lineage: Eukaryota; Viridiplantae; Streptophyta; Magnoliopsida; Lamiales; Oleaceae.
CUGCAGCAUUAACUUUGUUGGUAUUUGGAUCCCAUGUAACACCUGUAUGUCCCAAAAGUUCAGAGAACAUGCGAUGAAUUUUACGUAAGCGGUUCCACUUUCCCUUUAAUCUAUCUAUGCCGUAAUCCAUUUUUGUUGCAGCUAUCAUGGUCUCAUUGAUCUUGCCCCAUUCGUCUUUCGUGAAUGUAGAACAUUGCAAUGCGUUUGAUUUGACUUUCUCGUAAAGCAUUUCAAUAAAAGCAUGUUCAUUCUCGUCCGACCAUGACAUUGGUUCCUUAUUCCUAACUCUGUGACCACCCAUGUUGAAGCUAUACUGAAUAUACAUAAAAUUAUCAAUCUAUAUUAAUGUAUUUAAU